GAUGAACGCUAGCUACAGGCUUAACACAUGCAAGUCGAGGGGAAACGAUGAGAGAGCUUGCUCUCUUAGUCGUCGACCGGCGCACGGGUGAGUAACGCGUAUCCAACCUGCCUCUGACCAAGGGAUAACCCGUCGAAAGUCGGACUAAUACCUUAUUCAGUCGUCGGAAGUCAUCUGAUGACGACGAAAGAUUUCAUCGGUGAGAGAUGGGGAUGCGUCUGAUUAGCUUGUUGGCGGGGUAACGGCCCACCAAGGCGACGAUCAGUAGGGGUUCUGAGAGGAAGGUCCCCCAGAUUGGAAACGAGACACGGUCCAAAAUCGUACGGGAGGGAGCAGUGAGGAAUACUGGGCAAUGGGCGUAAGCCUGAAACAGCCAAGUAGCGUGCAGGAGGACGGCCAUAGGGGUUGUAAACUGCUUUUAUGCGGGGAAAAAGUGAGGGACGUGUCCUUCAUUGCAGGUACCGCAUGAAUAAGGACCGGCUAAUUCCGUG
Molecule: ribosomal RNA, 491 nt
Filed under: uncultured bacterium
Lineage: Bacteria
Description: partial 16S ribosomal RNA
Rfam family: Bacterial small subunit ribosomal RNA
Source: RNAcentral